GGCCUACCAUGGUGGUAACGGGUAACGGGGUGUUAGGGCACGACACCGGAGAGGGAGCCUGAGAAACGGCUACCACAUCCAAGGAUGGCAGCAGGCGCGCAAAUUACCCAAUCCCGACACGGGGAGGUAGUGACAAUAAAUAACAAUACGGGGUUCUUUCGGAUCUCGUAAUUGGAAUGAGUACAAUUUAAAUCUCUUAACGAGGAACAAUUGGAGGGCAAGUCUGGUGCCAGCAGCCGCGGUAAUUCCAGCUCCAAUAGCGUAUAUUAAAGUUGUUGCAGUUAAAAAGCUCGUAGUUGAAUUUCGGGGUCAGUAGGUUGGUCGUGCCAAUGGUAUGUACUGGCUUCACUGAUUCCUCCCUCUUGUAGAACCGUAAUGCCAUUAAGUUGGUGUUGCGGGGACACAGGACUGUUACUUUGAAAAAAUUAGAGUGUUUAAAGCAGGCUAACGCUUGAAUACAUUAGCAUGGAAUAAUGAAAUAGGACGAUCGAUCCUAUUUUGUUGGUUUCUAGGAUUGACGUAAUGAUUAAUAGGGAUAGUUGGGGGCAUUAGUAUUCAAUUGUCAGAGGUGAAAUUCUUGGAUUUAUUGAAGACUAACUACUGCGAAAGCAUUUGCCAAGGAUGUUUUCAUUAAUCAAGAACGAAAGUUAGGGGAUCGAAGACGAUCAGAUACCGUCGUAGUCUUAACCAUAAACUAUGCCGACUAGGGAUCGGAUGAUGUUAAUUUUUUAAUGACUCAUUCGGCGCCUUACG
This 753-nucleotide ribosomal RNA is filed under the name Glomus sp. Its description in RNAcentral is "SSU rRNA". It matches the Rfam family "Eukaryotic small subunit ribosomal RNA", at positions 338 to 1092 of the family's 1831-position model. Lineage: Eukaryota; Fungi; Glomeromycota; Glomeromycetes; Glomerales; Glomeraceae. The record is from RNAcentral.